This 1044-nucleotide long non-coding RNA is filed under the name Capra hircus (goat). Its description in RNAcentral is "lncRNA (ENSCHIG00010017722.1)". The record is from RNAcentral. Lineage: Eukaryota; Metazoa; Chordata; Mammalia; Artiodactyla; Bovidae.
AGCCAAGCCGAUCGGUUCCUCCAGACCUACAGGCUCAGCCCGCUCUCUGCUCCCGGGACCAACCAAUCCUAACUGGAAGCAGCAGAGAGCUAGGCAACUCCAGCUCCAGGUUCUAGGACGUGGUAAUUUCACCCGUGCUGCUGACAGGAAGCUGACCUUGUCUGUCAGCUUCACAGAGCUUGUCCGCUUGUUUCUGACACUUCCUCCCUCUGUCGGUGCCCCAGCCCUGCAGGCAGGUCUCUGCCUCACUUGCCGGGGCCUGGCUACCUGCUGAUGGACAUCUGUCUUGCCCCCAGCUUGCUUGCCUCAACCCCUUUCCUUUGGUAACAGACCCCACCCACAGGUGGGAUGACCAUGUGACCCAGGCCUGGCCAAUCAGAACACCCCAGCCCUUUGCUAUGGGAUUGGCUCAGGGAUGAGCACUGGCAAUCUGACCAAUCAGAGCCCUUCCCCAGGACUCCUCUAAUACUGUCUGUGCAGAAAGACUUGGAUUACAAAACAGGAAGGCUGGAGGCUAGGACUGGUGGAAGCUCUGCCACGGGAAGCAAAGCUGUCUGCCAAAGGAGAGAAAGAGAUAAAAGAGCUGUCGCACCAAAAGUAAGGACUCCACUUGGGGAGAUGCUGGCUUCUCCAAGGACUGGUGAUGGAGGAGUCUGGGAUGUCGGGGUUCAGCUGAAGUCCAAGUCAAAAGGACCCUAAGAAACCAGCCCUGGAUGAAUCGUCAUCUGGGGAGCAGCCCCGUGUUCAGCCUCUCACCGCUGGGCCAGAUGCACGAGAUACAUCAUCAACAUCGUGAAUAAACAUCGUUUAUUCAGCAUGUAUUGGCACGUGGUACUAGGUUCUGCUCAGAUCAAAGAGAACAAUCUAGACCCAAUCCUGCCCCAACUGUACCUUACAACAUGCUCAAAAUAAUGAUGAUCUCUGUCAGUGCUGUGGUCCUUUCUGGUUUACAAAGAGCCUUCAGCAACUCAGUGAAUUAGGUAGAGCAGGUCUGAAAAUUAUUCCCAUUUUAGAGGUGAAGUGACCUCAGAGAGGUGAAGUGUC